AUUUGGAGCUGGCGGAAUGCUUUACACAUGCAAGUCGAACGGUAGAGGGGGCAACCCCUUGAGAGUGGCGAACGGGUGAGUAAUAUAUCGGAACGUGCCCAGUCGUGGGGGAUAACGUAGUGAAAAUUACGCUAAUACCGCAUACGAUCUAAGGAUGAAAGCGGGGGAUCGCAAGACCUCGCGCGACUGGAGCGGCCGAUAUCAGAUUAGGUAGUUGGUAGGGUAAAGGCCUACCAAGCCAACGAUCUGUAGCUGGUCUGAGAGGACGACCAGCCACACUGGAACUGAGACACGGUCCAGACUCCUACGGGAGGCAGCAGUGGGGAAUUUUGGACAAUGGGCGAAAGCCUGAUCCAGCCAUUCCGCGUGCAGGAUGAAGGCCCUCGGGUUGUAAACUGCUUUUGUACAGAACGAAAAGGUUUCUAUUAAUACUAGGAGCUCAUGACGGUACUGUAAGAAUAAGCACCGGCUAACUACGUGCCAGCAGCCGCGGUAAUACGUAGGGUGCAAGCGUUAAUCGGAAUUACUGGGCGUAAAGCGUGCGCAGGCGGUUAUAUAAGUCAGAUGUGAAAUCCCCGGGCUCAACCUGGGAACUGCAUUUGAGACUGUAUAGCUAGAGUACGGUAGAGGGGGAUGGAAUUCCGCGUGUAGCAGUGAAAUGCGUAGAUAUGCGGAGGAACACCGAUGGCGAAGGCAAUCCCCUGGACCUGUAC
RNAcentral lists this ribosomal RNA (713 nucleotides) under uncultured bacterium. RNAcentral's name for it is "bacterial SSU rRNA". It matches the Rfam family "Bacterial small subunit ribosomal RNA", at positions 28 to 740 of the family's 1533-position model. The record is from RNAcentral.